RNAcentral lists this ribosomal RNA (252 nucleotides) under uncultured bacterium. RNAcentral's name for it is "partial 16S ribosomal RNA". It matches the Rfam family "Bacterial small subunit ribosomal RNA", at positions 524 to 776 of the family's 1533-position model. The record is from RNAcentral.
UACAGGGGGGCAAGCGUUGUUCGGAAUUACUGGGCGUAAAGGGUCUGUAGGUGGCCAACUAAGUCAGACGUGAAAUCCCUCAGCUUAACUGGGGAACUGCGUCUGAUACUGGAUGGCUUGAGUGUGGGAGAGGAAUGCGGAAUUCCUGGUGUAGCGGUGAAAUGCGCAGAUAUCAGGAGGAACACCAAUUGCGAAGGCAGCUCGCUGGGACGUUACUGACGCUGAGACGCGAAAGCGUGGGGAGCAAACAGG